UUAGUACCGAAGUCCGGGAUGGAAGAUGGCGAGAAAAGCUGUGUGUAUUUCUGCGGUGCCCGUACCGCAAACCGACACAGGUAGGUAGGAAGAAGAUUCUAAGGCCAACGGGAGAAGGGUUGUUAAGGAACUCGGCAAAUUGACCCCGUAACUUCGGGAGAAGGGGUGCUGCAGCAAUGCAGCCGCAGAGAAUCGGCCCAAGCAACUGUUUACCAAAAACACAGGUUUGUGCUAAAUCGAAAGAUGACGUAUACGAGCUGACGCCUGCCCGGUGCUGGAAGGUUAAGAGGAGAUGUGCAAGCAUUGAAUCGAAGCCCCAGUGAACGGCGGCCGUAACUAUAACGGUCCUAAGGUAGCGAAAUUCCUUGUCAGGUAAGUUCUGACCCGCAUGAAAGGCGUAAUGAUUUGGGCACUGUCUCAACAGCCCGCCCGGCGAAAUUGUAGUACCGGUGAAGAUGCCGGUUACCCGCGACAAGACGGAAAGACCCCAUGGAGCUUUACUGUAGCCUAAUAUUGGGUUUCGAUGUUGCAUGCACAGGAUAGAUGGGACACAGGGAAACAAUCGCUUUGGCGGUUGCGGAGUGGCCGUUGGGAUACCAUCCUUGCGAUAUUGGAAUUCUAACCUGCGGCUCUGAAUCGAGUCGGGGGACAUUGUUAGGUGGGCAGUUUGACUGGGGCGGUCGCCUCCUAAAAAGUAACGGAGGCGUUCAAAGGUUCGCUCAGCUUGAACGGAAAUCAAGCAAAAGAGUGCAAACGCAGAAGCGAGCCUAACUGCGAGACUGACGGGUCGAGCAGUAACGAAAGUUGGAGUUAGUGAUCCGGUGGUAUGUGAGUGGAAAUGCCAUCGCUCAACGGAUAAAAGUUACCCUGGGGAUAACAGGCUGAUCUCCCCCAAGAGUCCACAUCGACGGGGAGGUUUGGCACCUCGAUGUCGGCUCAUCGCAUCCUGGGGCUGUAUUCGGUCCCAAGGGUUUGGCUGUUCGCCAAUUAAAGCGGUACGCGAGCUGGGUUCAGAACGUCGUGAGACAGUUCGGUCCCUAUCUGUCGUGGGCGCAGGAUAUUUGAUGGGAGCUGUUCCUAGUACGAGAGGACCGGAGCGGACGUACCUCUGGCGCACCAGUUGUUCUGCCAAGAGCAUAGCUGGGCAACUAUGUACGGAUCGGAUAAACGCUGAAAGCAUCUAAGCGUGAAGCCGACCCAAAGAUAAGAUAUCCCAUUGUUUCAAACAAGUAAGACCCCUUGAAGACUACAAGGUUGAUAGGCACGAUGUGUAAGUGGAGCGAUCCAUUCAGCAAGCGUGUACUAAUAGGUCGAGGGCUUGACCAC
Molecule: ribosomal RNA, 1326 nt
Filed under: gut metagenome
Description: bacterial LSU rRNA
Rfam family: Bacterial large subunit ribosomal RNA
Source: RNAcentral